Meleagris gallopavo (turkey) is the source of this 338-nucleotide non-coding RNA. Lineage: Eukaryota; Metazoa; Chordata; Aves; Galliformes; Phasianidae. The record is from RefSeq and is a predicted model, not a curated record.
GUGUAAUGGCCAUAAAUUACAGUCACAAGUAACUCCAGUAGUGACUAGCUAUCAGCCUCACCUUAUGCUGUAAGCUUUCUAAGCCGAGACCUGGACAGAAGGGUUCUGUCAGAAAUAACAUUGAAAGCUUUGCUGAAAUUCAAAAAGAUUCCAUCAACUGGCUCCCUUUGGUCAGGUGUUUCUCAGUAACUCCCAGAAUCAUCUUCUCCAUCAUUUUUCAAAGCACUGAAGUAAGACUGACAGGGAGAGUACAAAGAAGUUUUUAGGAUAUGCAGAGAGAAGAUUAGAAAGACAGAAGCCCAACUUGCUACAAGACUAAAAGAGAACACAAACCUUUU